CUUAACUCUCCAACGAUUAUCUCUUUCUCGCAGCUUCUAUGUAUUUCCUCUUCAGAAACAAAACCCUAGCCUCCAUCCUCCAUUCUCUAGUAGCCAUACGUGAUGAUGAUAGAAACCAUGAAAUCCUCACAUAUGUUGUUUUUCAGUUUAUAUCUUAUGAGGUCUGACAUAUAUAUUUUCAGGUCUCGCCUGGAUUUGAGAUUUGGAAGGAAAAAACGAGAAGGCUAAGAGGAUGGUGAAGGACAUGGCAACUUACUUCUCUAUGACUUUGGGUGCUUUUGUGUUCUGGCAAUCCAUGGAUGAAGUCCACGUCCGAACGAAAAGGUAAAAAUCUCAUCUUGCUCAUGCCUAUAGAUGCAAUUUCUCUUUUAGAUUGGACUUAUAAUUUGGGUGAUUAGCAAUUUUUUUUUAAGAAUUUGAUUGACAAGCCAAGUAGGGCUUUUGCUGUUUGUCUUCCGAGUAUGUGGGCAAGCCAAGUAUCCAAGUUUUCAUUUCAAUUAGGGAUUUUGCUUGUCGAGAGAGACUCAAAGAGAAAGGGGAAUCGGAAUCGGAUUCAGUGUCUUAGGGUUAGGGCUUGUAGUCAUUACAUUGUGAUCUCCGUCGCCGAGUCUGAAAGGAGAAACCCCAAAAGAUAUUGAUUCACUUCUUGUUCCUUGCCAUUUCCACAAUCAAAUUCUGAUUCUUUAUUCUCUAACUGCUAUCUUAUGCCUCAAUUCAGCUACUUAAGGUGAUUAGUGUGUAUUUUUAUGCAUAAUUAGUGCUUUGUUUUGACGAUUUGGGUGUAGGGGCAAAAACAUUUAUUCGGUAAUCCAAUGCAUUUUGUGUAAUUUCAAGUUGAUUAAGGUAGUUCUCCAAUGGCUAAGAAAUCUGUAGCUCAACAAAGGCUAACGAAACUCGAUAUCUAUCUUUACAUACCCAACAUGAUUGGAAUGCAGGGUACAUAAGGGUUCUUAUGAACCGUUUUGCCUUUGCCCAGUGCUUCUCCAACAAGCAACUUUUCUCCGUUCUCUAUUUCAUAAGCUUUGUCUGCGAUGGGGUAGAUGGUUGGUGUGCUCGCAAAUUCAACCAAGAAUAAAGAUAAUAAUUGUGGAUCAAUGUUCGUAGCACUACGUUCGAACUCCUUGACAGUUGGUUAAAGUGGACAUGAAAAACUAGCAUUAUAAGACAUAUCAUAGGAUUGUAACAAGUACUUGUAAAAAUUUUACUUUGAUUUUUUUGUAUAUGUAGUUGAAUAUAUGAUUAUUAAUAUAAA
Molecule: non-coding RNA, 1252 nt
Organism: Malus domestica (apple)
Lineage: Eukaryota; Viridiplantae; Streptophyta; Magnoliopsida; Rosales; Rosaceae
Source: RefSeq, a predicted model, not a curated record